AGCAGCCGCCACGGUAAUACGAAGGGGGCUAGCGUUGUUCGGAUUAACUGGGCGUAAAGCGCACGUAGGCGGCUUGGUAAGUUAGAGGUGAAAGCCCGGAGCUCAACUCCGGAAUUGCCUUUAAGACUGCCGAGCUAGUAGGUGAGAGAGGUAAGUGGAAUUCCGAGUGUAGAGGUGAAAUUCGUAGAUAUUCGGAAGAACACCAGUGGCGAAGGCGGCUUACUGGCUCAUUCUAGACGCUGAGGUGCGAAAGCGUGGGGAGCAAACAGGAUUAGAUACCCGAGUAGUCCCUGUCUCUUAUAC
RNAcentral lists this ribosomal RNA (303 nucleotides) under uncultured bacterium. RNAcentral's name for it is "partial 16S ribosomal RNA". It matches the Rfam family "Bacterial small subunit ribosomal RNA", at positions 507 to 807 of the family's 1533-position model. The record is from RNAcentral.